UUGUCAAGACUGGUCGACGCCAGCGCCACUGCAUCAUUCCACGCUGAAAGCCCGGCUCCCAGGAAGCCGCUCGCACCAUUAGAAAGCCUUCUAGUUCCCUGUAGCAGGUCAAAGGCGGUCUUUGCGCUGCUCGGACUGAUCCCCGGCGUGCUCGGCUGCGUGGAUGGCCCACUCAUCACCGUUCAGCAGCCCCAAGGCCUGAGCUGCGUGGAAACGCAGAGCGACAGGUUGAGGAACGGCUUCUACGCGACGGACGCCGUGAUCGGUCGUUUCGAGAUUCAUGGGCGUGGCAUAUGAACGCUCUCCAUGGGUACUUCAAGGCGAAACUGCAGACUGGUGAAUAUUUGCUUUGAGACUCCGGCUAUGCGCUGGAGCCAUGACUUUUAACACCGGUGCCUGGGCAUCCAGUUGGCGACACCCGCUAGGACCGCUACAAGGAGCACGCUGCCAUGCGCAAUGUUGUGUAAAUGGGCAUCCGGGUCCUAAAGAGCAGGUUCCGCUGCUUGCAGAGUUACAGGACCCUGCUCUACAACACCGACAGAACAGCCACCUUCAUUGCUGCUUGCGUAGCUCUACGCAACGUUUCCUUGGUGGCACGUGAGCGUGUCCUCGAAGAGGACGACGACAGAGAGCUACCGCAAGCUUUCCAGCAGGCUGCAGAUGUGGCCCUGCCACUACCACCGAUACGGGUGCCAGCGGCGCGUGAGUUCUACUUGAGGGGCCAUCGGCAGCGCCAACGCCUGGUUAAGCUUUUUCAAGGUGCACGCAGAGUGCAUGCUGACCACCUCCGGCGGUUGCGCCGCCACCUGCUGAUACCUUUUUGGCUGCAGCCACAGUGUUGUGUCAACUCGUUGGUAUGCAUUUUUUUUUUACAUUUUCGAGAUUGGUGUGAAAAGAAAGCGAAAUAAAUGCUCUCCGUCUGCCGAACUUCACGAA
Dermacentor albipictus is the source of this 936-nucleotide long non-coding RNA. RefSeq lists it as uncharacterized. The record is from RefSeq and is a predicted model, not a curated record. Lineage: Eukaryota; Metazoa; Arthropoda; Arachnida; Ixodida; Ixodidae.